This 2445-nucleotide ribosomal RNA is filed under the name human gut metagenome. RNAcentral describes it as "bacterial LSU rRNA". It matches the Rfam family "Bacterial large subunit ribosomal RNA", at positions 1 to 2472 of the family's 2925-position model. The record is from RNAcentral.
GUGAACAACUAAGGGCGCGCGGUGGAUGCCUAGGCUCUCGGAGGCGAUGAAGGACGCGAUAAGCCGCGAUAGGCCACGGCGAGGUGCAAGUAACCCUUGACCCGUGGAUUUCCGAAUGGGGCAACCCGGCCGUCUAGAUGACGGUCAUGCAUUAAUGCAGGCGAACGCGGGGAACUGAAACAUCUCAUUACCCGCAGGAGAAGAAAACAAAAUGUGAUUCCCCCAGUAGUGGCGAGCGAACGGGGAAGAGCCCAAACCGUUGCCGUUUCGGCGACAGCGGGGUCAUGGGACCGCGAUACUCGACGGAAGACGAAGUGCAAUUACCUGGAAAGGUAAGCCGUGGAGGGUGAUAGCCCCGUGCACGACAGCCCCAUCGAAGAUAGCGGAAUCCCGAGUAGGGCGGGACACGAGAAAUCCUGCCUGAAUUCGCCAGGACCUCCUGGCAAGGCUAAAUACUCCCGAGAGACCGAUAGUGAACCAGUACCGCGAGGGAAAGGUGAAAAGUACCCCGAGCAGGGGGGUGAAAUAGACCCUGAACCCGCGCGCCUACAAGCGGUCGGAGCCAUGAAAUAUGGUGACGGCGUGCCUUUUGCAUAAUGAGCCUACGAGUUAGUCGUCACCAGCGAGGUUAAGGGCUUCAGGCCCGUUAGCCGAAGUGAAAGCGAGCCUUAACAGGGCGUCGAGUUGGUGGCGCUAGACGCGAAACCUUGUGAUCUACCCACGAGCAGGUUGAAGGUCGCGGUAACACGUGAUGGAGGACCGAACCGGUAAACGUUGAAAAGUUUUCGGAUGACUCGCGGGUAGGGGUGAAAGGCCAAUCAAACUGGGAAAUAGCUCGUACUCUCCGAAAUGCAUUUCGGUGCAGCCUGUGAUGUUCUGUUCCAGAGGUAGAGCUACUGGUUGGACGCGAGGGCUUCACCGCCUAUCAAAUCCGGAUAAACUCCGAAUGCUGGAACACGAAAUCAUGGAGUGAGCCCGCGGGUGCUAAGGUCCGCGGACGAGAGGGAAAGAACCCGGACCACCGGCUAAGGUCCCGGAUGGACAGUUAAGUUGAUCAAACGAGGUGGGAUCGCGGAGACAGCUAGGAUGUUGGCUUGGAAGCAGCCAUUCAUUUAAAGAGUGCGUAACAGCUCACUAGUCGAGCGAUCCCGCGUGGAUAAUACACGGGCAUGAAACUGUCAACCGAAGCCGUGGGGUCAGUGUUGAACUGACCGGUAGGAGAGCAUUCCUGCCAGCGUUGAAGGUCACCCGCGAGAGUGACUGGAGCGGCAUGAAAAGCAAAUGUAGGCAUAAGUAACGAUAAUGGGGGCGAGAACCCCCCACGCCGCAAGACCAAGGAUUCCCCGGCAAUGUCAAUCAGCCGGGGGUCAGCCGGCCUCUAAGGCUCACCCGAAAGGGGAUGCCGACGAGAAACGGGUUAACAUUCCCGUGCUUCUCGUCACCGUGACGCGGUGACGGGGUGAUGAAUGGACCGCGCGCUGACGGAAUAGCGCGUUGAAGACCGUACCCUUUGACGGUGGUAGUCAAGCACGCCACCGGAGGCGAAAGCCGAUAGUACCACGAGACCCCGGUCGAGUGGAUAGCGUCCAGGCAAUUUACCCCCUAGAAAACCCGCUAAACUUCAAGUGACGAGGAACCGUACUGUAAACGGACACACGUGGUCGGGUAGAACAUACCAAGGCGCUCGAGUGAUUCAUGGUCAAGGAACUAGGCAAAAUAGUCCUGUAACCUCGGGAAAAAGGACGCUCUAUGAUAGAGCCGCAGAGUAAUGGCCCAGGCGACUGUUUACCAAAAACACAUGGCUAUGCCAAAUCGAAAGAUGACGUAUAUGGCCUGACACCUGCCCGGUGCCGGAAGGUUAAGAGGAGAGCUCAUCGGAAACGAGAAGGUUUGAAUUGAAGCCCCGGUAAACGGCGGCCGUAACUAUAACGGUCCUAAGGUAGCGAAAUUCCUUGUCGGGUAAGUUCCGACCUGCACGAAUGGUGUAACGAUCUGGGCACUGUCUCGACCAUGAGCUCGGUGAAAUUGUAGUUCCGGUGAAGAUGCCGGGUACCCGCGACGGGACGGAAAGACCCCGUGAACCUUUACUGCAGCUUCGCGUUGUUCCCGGGCACGGGACGUGUAGGAUAGGUCGGAGGCUACGAUUCGGUUUCGCCAGGAAUCGAGGAGCCAUCGUUGAAAUACGACCCUUCUCUUGUCUGGGAUCUAACCCAUGUGAUGGGGACACCGCGUGGUGGGUAGUUUGACUGGGGUGGUCGCCUCCAAAAGCGUAACGGAGGCUUCCAAAGGUACCCUCGGGUUGGUUGGUAAUCAACCUUAGAGUGCAAUGGCACAAGGGUGCUUGACCGGGAGACCAACGAGUCGAUCGGGUGCGAAAGCAGGGCAUAGUGAUCCGGUGAUCCCGCGUGGAAGGGUCAUCGCUCAAAGGAUAAAAGGUACUCCGGG